UGGGGAAUCUUGGACAAUGGGCGAAAGCCUGAUCCAGCCAUGCCGCGUGAGUGAAGAAGGCCCUAGGGUUGUAAAGCUCUUUCAGCGGGGAAGAUAAUGACGGUACCCGCAGAAGAAGCCCCGGCUAACUUCGUGCCAGCAGCCGCGGUAAUACGGAGGGGGCUAGCGUUGUUCGGAAUUACUGGGCGUAAAGCGCGCGUAGGCGGGUGACCAAGUUGGGGGUGAAAGCCCGGGGCUCAACCUCGGAACGGCCUUCAAAACUGGUUAUCUAGAAUCCGGGAGAGGUAAGCGGAAUUCCUAGUGUAGAGGUGAAAUUCGUAGAUAUUAGGAAGAACACCAGUGGCGAAGGCGGCUUACUGGACCGGCAUUGACGCUGAGGUGCGAAAGCGUGGGGAGCGAACAGGAUUAGAUACCCGUGUAGUCC
RNAcentral lists this ribosomal RNA (424 nucleotides) under uncultured prokaryote. RNAcentral describes it as "bacterial SSU rRNA". It matches the Rfam family "Bacterial small subunit ribosomal RNA", at positions 355 to 796 of the family's 1533-position model. The record is from RNAcentral.